GUGGGGAAUUUUGGGCAAUGGGCGCAAGCCUGACCCAGCGACGCCGCGUGGAGGAUGAAGGCCUUCGGGUUGUAAACUCCUGUCAGGUGGGAAGAAAUCUCCGCCGGUGAAUAUCCGGCGGCGUUGACGGUACCACCAAAGGAAGCCCCGGCUAACUCCGUGCCAGCAGCCGCGGUAAUACGGAGGGGGCAAGCGUUAUUCGGAUUUACUGGGCGUAAAGCGCACGUAGGCGGCAUUGCAAGUCGUAGGUGAAAGCCCUCGGCUCAACCGAGGAAUUGCCUUCGAAACUGCGCUGCUUGAGUCCGGGAGGGGGGAGCGGAAUUCCCAGUGUAGCGGUGAAAUGCGUAGAUACUGGGAGGAACACCGGUGGCGAAGGCGGCUCCCUGGACCGGUACUGACGCUGAGGUGCGAAAGCGUGGGUAGCAAACAGGAUUAGAAACCCGUGUAGUCC
This 451-nucleotide ribosomal RNA is filed under the name uncultured bacterium. Its description in RNAcentral is "bacterial SSU rRNA". It matches the Rfam family "Bacterial small subunit ribosomal RNA", at positions 354 to 796 of the family's 1533-position model. The record is from RNAcentral.